Molecule: RNA transcript, 6791 nt
Organism: Mauremys reevesii (Reeves's turtle)
Lineage: Eukaryota; Metazoa; Chordata; Testudines; Geoemydidae
Gene: TSC22D1
Gene name: TSC22 domain family member 1
Exons: 5
Source: RefSeq, a predicted model, not a curated record
CUGCCUGCGCCUUGCUGCUCCUAGGCGCCCCAGCCGGCCGCUCCGCCGAGCCCCCGACACCCCCUCGCCGCCCCUCCGCACCCAGCCGCCAGCGGCGGCGGCGGCCGCUCCCCCGGGACCCCGCGGCGGGGAGGUCCGCUUUGCCGAGAGCCACCCCCCUAUAGCGACACACAGCUCGGCUGGGAGCCGGGGAGGGGGGCGGGCGGUUGCUUUCUGAGUUGGCCGGAUAACGUGGGUAAUUUCUUCCCCAGCACCCCGCCCCCCGGAGAAGCGGGCCAGGGGGGAGUGGAGAGCGGAGGGGAAAGUGAACGGCAAAGGACUGAAAGUGUCACAUUCACUGGCUCUGAUCUGAAGGCGGCGGAGGGACCCGGCCUCACCCCCCCCCAGCCCCCGAGAGGAGGAGGAGGAAAAGGGGCGGUUUAGUGGCAGUGCCGGCUGUGCCGAGGCGGCUCAGCCUGUGCUGUGUGCGCCAGCGGGGAGGGGAGAGGGGGUUGUGUGUGUGUGUGGUGCCUCUCCCCUGGGUUGCAUGCAGAGCUAACUGUGUGGCUGUCUCUCUCCGGGCCGGGGAACUGCACUCUUAAAAUAAACCCGGUACAAUGCACCAGCCUGACUCAGCCGCAGACAUUAGUCCUAGGAAGAUGGCGCACCCGGCAAUGUUUCCUAGAAGGGGCAGCAGCGGCGGCGGCAGCAGCUGCGUUACUGCGCUCAAUGCACCAGGUACCGGCGCUGGUAGCGGUGCCCUCUCCACCGAGGAUUAUCCGCCGCCUCUGCUCAUCCAGCCGCCUCCUCCGUCUCUUGCAGCAUCUUCAUCGGCGGGUCCACAGCUGCCACCCCCUCCUCCACAAAGCCUGAACCUCCUCGCCCAGUCUCAGCUCCAGCCACAGCCUCUUGCACAAGCUGGAGCCCAAAUGAAAAAGAAAAGUGGCUUCCAAAUUACCAGCGUGACCCCUGCUCAGAUCUCUGCCAGUAUGAGCUCUAACAACAGCAUAGCAGAGGACACGGAAAGCUACGACGACCUGGAUGAGUCUCACACUGAAGACCUGUCUUCUUCAGAAAUUUUGGACGUUUCUUUAUCCAGGGCCACUGACUUGGGUGAACCUGAAAGGAGCUCCUCCGAAGAGACUUUAAAUAACUUCCAAGAGGCUGAGACUCCUGGGGCCGUCUCUCCAAACCAGCCUCACCUUCCUCAGCAGCAUCCCCCUUUGCCACAUCACCCACAGCAGAGUGUUGUGAUCAAUGGAAAUGUUCACCCCCAUCAUGGUCACCAUCACCACCACCUUCAUCAUCACCAUCAUGGGCAUCAUCAUCCAUCACAUCCUGGGGUGGGCAGUACACCAGCUUCUGGAGGACCACCCCCAAGUCCAUCAUUUAGAAAGCUGUCCACAACUGGAAGCUCUGACAAUGUUAUCACAACUGCACCAGUUUCUGCUGCAUCAUCCUCUGGUACUCCUGCAUCUGCCCUGUCUAAUAUUCGCACUACAAGUACUCCUGGCAAUAUAGGUGUAAGUCCUGUUACUGGAACUAGUACGUUAAGUAAUGUGGUUGGUGGUAGUCCUAGCAUGACAAGCAGCAUGCUUGGUAACGUUAAUAUAAACUUAAGCAACAUCACAAGUACUGCUAAUGUACAUGCUUUGUCUGGAACCAGCAGCAAUGUUAAUGUGAAUAUCUUGAGUGGUGGUGGCAAUGGUACGAGUGCUUCCUCUAAUGUCAUUAAUAAUGUUACUAAUCCAACUGCAGGAAUGGCAGUGGGAUCAAGUCAGCAGCAGCCUGCAGCUGGCACAUCAAGGUUUAGAGUUGUAAAAUUAGAUUCCAGUUCUGAACCUUUUAAAAAAGGUAGAUGGAUAUGCACUGAAUUCUAUGAUAAAGAAAACGCUGUAGCAGUUACAGAAGGAGUAGCAGUAAACAAAGUGGUAGAGACUAUAAAACAAAAUCCACUUGAAGUGACUUCUGAAAGGGAGAGCACCAGUGGGAGUUCUGUUAGCAGCAAUGUAAGCACACUGAGUCACUACACAGAAAGUGUGGGAAGCGGGGAAAUGGGAGCACCUACUGUGAUACAACAGCAGACAUUUCAAGGUGUGGGUCCACAGCAGGUGGAUUUUAGUUGUGCUGGACCUCAGACUAUUCCAGCAUCCAAUAUACCGCAAAGUAUUUCUCAAUCACAGCUUGCACAAGUACAAUUGCCUUCUCAAGAAGUAAAUUAUCCACAGCAAAAGCAAGGAGUCCAGUCUUCAACACAGGCUAGUCUAACAACUGUUACUGGUGUUCAGCCAACUCCAGUUAAUGUAGUAGGUGUAUCAUCUUUAGGUCACCAACAACCUGCUAUUCCAAGUGUGGCUCAGCAGCAGUUAUCAUAUUCUCAACCCUCACGGCCUGUGCAAACUUUGCCUGUUGUACCACAACAGCAGUUACAGUAUGGACAACAGACACUUCCCAUGCAGAUGGCCCCUGCACGAGUUAAACCAGUGAAUCAGAGUUCUGUGACAGGGACCAUACCGGACUACAUACAACAUCAGCAGAUACUUCAACCUCCAGUGCCUGCUGUGCAAUCCAGCUCUACAGGAGUAGGAGCAGGAACACCGGUUCCUGUUGCUCAGGCACCAAGCAUCCAACCUUCUGUACAAGUACAUCCUGCUGUGGCACCAGCUCAGCCUGUUGCACAUGCUCAGACAGCAGUGCCACCUGUAGGUACUAGUGGUCAAAUUAUUAACAUUGCACAACAAGGAAAUGUACCUGCUGUGGUGCAGCAGCCACCUGUUGCAAACCAAAUUACACCUUCAGUUAUGCAGCAAAGUGCUGCUCCUCCAUCUUCACAAGUGGUGCAGCCUGUUCAGACUGGGAUAAUUCAGCAGGGACUACAAGCUGGUGCUUCAGGCCUUCCUCCGCAAAUGGUAAUUGCUUCACAAAAUGUUUUGUUACCUGUACAACCCCAGGCACAAGUAGAAACUGUAGUUCAAGGAAUGACCAGCCAACCAUUGCCUGCAGUUAGCCCUAUACCUUCUACUAGUGCUGUUCCUGCUCCAAGUCAAGUUAGUUCAAAUGUACCUCCUGAUAUACCUUCUGCUUCUGUAAGUUUGGGUCCAUCACAGAACAUAGCACAAGCUUCAGCUGUGCAAAAUGGGAAUUUGGUUCAAAGUGUUAGUCAGCCUCCCUUGAUAUCAACUAGUAUAAGUAUACCAGUGGCACAAAAUGUGCCACAACAGAUACCGCUAAACUCUACACAGUUCUCUGCACAAUCACUAACUCAGUCAAUUGUAAGCCAAAUUGAAGAUGGCAGGCGCCCUACAGAACCGUCCUUAGUUGGUUUACCGCAAGCUGCCAGUGGUGAAAGUGGUGUUGGAGCAUCAGCUGUUUCAGAUGGGAGUGGCAGCAACAUAACAUCGUCUGCUUCCCUUUUUCCACUGAAAGUACUGCCAUUGACAACCCAUCUUGUUGAUGGUGAGGAUGAGAGAAAUGACUUCUUCAGAGGCAGCAGCGAACAUUUUUCAAGGAAAUUUCUGGCACCCCUUUCCCUAGAGACUGAAAGCAUCCUUCAUGGCAGUUGCUUUUAAUUCAAUGUGGAACACACCCCUCACCCUACAAGACUGUGGAACAGACUGUUCAAAGUAUUUCCCUGCUGAACUGACCACUUGAAAAAAACAUUGAGGGAGUCUUGAUCCUAACAGCUGGUCUUACAAUACAGAAUGACUGAGUCUAACAUUGCACACUGGUAUGCCUGUGAAGAGGCAUUACCAAAGUUAAUUAUGUCUAGUGCAAAUGCUGGGAGGUCUGACUGAGCAAAGCAGCUGACCCCCCCCAAAGCAAAGGGAAGAAACCAACAGGAAAGAUGAUUGAAGAAAGGAAGAAGACAGAAUCCAAGAAAUAUCAGUGUGAGUCAGUUUCAGGCAGAAGCUCCCAAGUUGCAGAGUCAAAAUGAAAUUUCCUUUGGGGAAGGAUCUGCUUCCAGGAUUUGCUUCUCCCUUGUUCCCUGGGUAGACACUGAAUUCUUGAACGCCCCCAUCAGUGUUGCAGGUAGGUUGAGCCCACUUGGGGAUAGCCGCUUGUAUUGCCUUCUCAAGUGUGGAGGACUGACUUGGCUGGUUCUUUGCCGUUUCUUCUUUGUUGCCCACCUUUCUAGACUGAGAGGAGAAGAGCUUCGGGCUCAACAGAUUUUUGUGAGAAAUAAGGAAGGCAUUUCUCUCCCCACUCACUUUGCUGUAGUGUGGAAAGUUUCCUGUUGAGGGGUUUAUAUGUGCACCUCAUUGUCUCCAACCCCAAAUCAGUACUGCUUUGUGCUGUAAGCUCUCCUACUGCUCUUCCUCUCUCCCCUCUCUGCACAAAAGAGCUGAGAUACUAUGACUGUGGAAACCAUGUAGGCGGACCCAGGCACUCUUUUCUCUCAGCCAGGGAAAUCUGAUUUACUAGUUUGUGCAUCGCUGGAUUUUGCAAUUCCCGUGAUACUUUGAUUUGCCUGUGUGAGUACAAUGGAGCAGGGUGCCAGGGCAAGAACGCUCACUGAUCAAAGGAGAUGUUGCUGACCCCUCCUUGCAGCUAUGCCAGUGGCCCAGAGAAUGUUUUUAGUGUGAGGUUUUUCAGUAGGAGCUUAACUGUAAGCUCUCCCUCCUCACUUCACGCCACAUGCUGCAGCAGCAGCUUCUCCCUCAGACUGCCCACUGCCAGACCUCCCCAUCUCCAUCUGUGUCAUAGCUGAGGCAGACAGGCUGUUGUGGGUGUCCCGUGGCUGUAACCACAGAAAUCAAACCUGCAACGAGCAAUGGGAUUCUAAGAGGGCUUUUGCAGCCUCAAAGGUCCAGGCCCCUUUUCCCCAGUCUUUCUUUCAUACCAAGAAAAUUCAGCUAGAACUAUGUUGGACUCAAUACUACCCAGGUGGAUCCAGUGGCUCUUCUCUCCCUCCUCACUCCCCAAAAAUUACUUCAUGAACUUUCAGCCCUUACAGUGCCAUGAGCCCUCAGUGGAAGACCUUGAGAAGGGCCUUCUAAGAUUCCAGACAAUGAGUCUAUUCUUGAAUCUUGACCUUUCACAAGUAAGAUUCCCUGACACAAAUUGGGUUAUGGAAGAGGAGGCGUUUGUUCGUUGUUUUUUUUUCUUUUUCUUCCAGAUCAUGCUGAAUCCUUUGAGCCAGAGUAUUAGCUGUCUUUGGGGUGGAAGCCCAGACAGAUUAUAGCUCCUAGGAAAUAAAUGGUCAUUAAGGAGACAUUCUGGUCUCCUGUAGUUCUUCAUUGAAGUGUUAUGCGGAAUGUUUGUUUGAUCUGGCCUCUCUUACGUUGCUGCCCCAGGGUUCAAGUAAAUACAUCGAUAAAGCUUGCAAGUCUCCAGCUGUACUACCGUGAGCAGAUCUUCAAAUCUCAAAUUAAGUGAAGUUGGGCCUCUUAUUCCUCUGCAUAGGAGACCUCAGAGGAAUCUGUGAAACCUGCUUUCUCUUGUGCUCCAGACACUGCUGCUUUUAUAAGACCAACUCCCCCGCCCCCACCACAACCUCCCCUGGCACCUCUGGUUCAAUUUCUGUAACUAUAAAGUAUAUCUGUAAAGAGAAUUAACAUUAGCCUUUAUCAGUAGUGGAACAGCAUCUCCUCCCCCCACUUCCCCAAUGAUCUGCUUCUGGCAAUCGGAAUAAACUAAUCAGAUGCUUGUGCCACCUUCCACUUAGUUUCUUAAAUCAGUUCACCAUGAAACAUUUUUAACUAAUGCCUAGGUCUUUCAUUAAAUUAACCAGCAUACCUAAAUUGCCUAACAAUCUUAACACAGCCCCCAGGCUACAGCUUCAUGGCAGUUGUGAUUUCUUAUUAUGUUGGAAUGCAUUUCAGUUGAAGUAUAUUGUCUAAAAAUAAUUGUUUAGAUAGUGCUGCUUAAAUACAUACUUAUGUAGUGAGACAUUCGCAGAGGAUUUACUUAAAUUGGGCCCUUCAGAUUAAAAAAUCAUUCAUGUGGCUUUUCCUUUGCCAAGAAUAGCUAUCAAACUGCUUAUUGCCUACAUCUUGAUUUCUGCUGUAGUCAUAGUCUGUAAAAUACACAAUUUAUAAUUUAGUGUUUUUUAGAAAAUUGAUAAAAUGUUUGUUAAAAUAUGGGACUGCAGUAACUGAUUGAAAAUAAAUUUAUUUAAACUGAUUUCUUUAAUCCACAAACACAAUUGUGUGGUGAUGCCAUAUAAAGCUUAGUGUGGUAAAUCAAAAGUGAAGAUGUAUUUAACUUUUCAAAGUAAGACAGCUUUCUUUAAAAUCAGUAUCUCACUUACGCAUAUUGAAUAGCUUAUUUACUAUAGGUAUAUUUAUUUUGACUUUUUUGCAUGCAGAGAUUUAAAAUCCAAUUGUAGAAGUUACUUAAGAGCUUCAGGACUAAACAUCUUUAAAUCCAAGAAAAGGGCAAAAUAUGUGAUCUUAAACACUGGUGGUAUAAGUGCUGAAUGACGGCCUAAGUAUGUGACUAUGUCCCAUUGAUCUAAAGUUAAGCACAUGCUUAAGUGCCCUUCCUGAGUAGGCAUCCUUCUCUGAAUUGAGGUAUUACAUAACUUUAUUUGGUGAAGGAUAAUCUAAAUUACUCUGCACAUCUACUGAGAAUUGUUUUAAUAGUAAAGUCUCUAAAGUCAUAAUGUCUAGUUUUAAAAAAGCUUUAAAAAAAUUACUUAGCUCUGUUACAACCCCUUGGAAGCUUAAAACUAUCCAUAUUAAAAUUUAUUUCCAUUCAUGAAAGUAAAUUUUUUUGUUAACACUUUUAAAAAUAAUAUAGUUUUUUGUUGGUAUUUUGAUACUUCUGCUCUGUGCACCAGCAUUGUGUAAUGUAUUCUUUGGUACUCUGAU